RNAcentral lists this ribosomal RNA (465 nucleotides) under uncultured bacterium. RNAcentral describes it as "partial 16S ribosomal RNA". It matches the Rfam family "Bacterial small subunit ribosomal RNA", at positions 28 to 507 of the family's 1533-position model. The record is from RNAcentral.
GACGAACGCUGGCGGCGUGCUUAACACAUGCAAGUCGAACGGAAAGGCCCCAUUGGGGGUACUUGAGGGGCGAACGGGGGAGGAACACGGGAGUAACCUGCCCUUGACUUCGGGACAACGGCAGUAAACUGGGGCAAAUACCGGAAAGGAAUCCUUGCUGCAUGGGGGGGGUGGGAGAGCUCCGGCGGCUUUGGGUGGAUUCGCGGCCUAUUGGCUUGUUGGUGGGGUGGUGGCUUACCGAGGCACCGAGGGGUAGCCGGCCUGUGGGAGUGAGCGGCCACCCUGACACUGAGGUGCGGCCCCGGCUCCUACGGGUGGCCGCUGUGGGGAAUCUUGCUCCAUGGGCGCCGGCUGGAUGCAGAAGCGCCGCGUGCGGGAUAGCGGCCUUCGGGUUGUAAAACGCUUUCAGCAGGAGCCAAGCUUGUGGUGACGGUACCUGCAGAAGAAGCACCGGCUAACUACGUG